RNAcentral lists this long non-coding RNA (250 nucleotides) under Lathyrus oleraceus (garden pea). RNAcentral's name for it is "Pisum sativum (pea) long non-coding RNA (PSAT_LNC039531)". The record is from RNAcentral. Lineage: Eukaryota; Viridiplantae; Streptophyta; Magnoliopsida; Fabales; Fabaceae.
UAUACAUAUACAUAUACAUUCAUAGUUUUCGUUAUUGCAUUAUUAUUGCACCUUGUGAUUUGUUAUAUUUUUUUUCCUGAUCCUCUGCUAUGGUGGUAUCCUUUCCCCCACGCAGAUUUGGUGUGUCUGUCCUCCUUCCAUUAUAGAGUGUCAGUCCCUUAAGCAGAAAGAAUUUAACCGUUCUCAUUCCCCACUGAGUUAUUUCCUCAUGGAUGAUUAUUAUUUCAGCUUCCUCCCCAAUUGAUUAUCU